UGGGGAAUUUUGGACAAUGGGCGCAAGCCUGAUCCAGCCAUGCCGCGUGCGGGAAGAAGGCCUUCGGGUUGUAAACCGCUUUUGUCAGGAACGAAACGGUGAUGGCGAAUAACCAUUGCUAAUGACGGUACCUGAAGAAUAAGCACCGGCUAACUACGUGCCAGCAGCCGCGGUAAUACGUAGGGUGCAAGCGUUAAUCGGAAUUACUGGGCGUAAAGCGUGCGCAGGCGGUUAUGUAAGACAGGUGUGAAAUCCCCGGGCUCAACCUGGGAACUGCAUUUGUGACUGCAUAGCUAGAGUUUGUCAGAGGGGGGUGGAAUUCCACGUGUAGCAGUGAAAUGCGUAGAUAUGUGGAAGAACACCGAUGGCGAAGGCAGCCCCCUGGGAUAAGACUGACGCUCAUGCACGAAAGCGUGGGGAGCAAACA
Molecule: ribosomal RNA, 427 nt
Filed under: uncultured Burkholderiales bacterium
Lineage: Bacteria; Pseudomonadati; Pseudomonadota; Betaproteobacteria; Burkholderiales
Description: partial 16S ribosomal RNA
Rfam family: Bacterial small subunit ribosomal RNA
Source: RNAcentral